RNAcentral lists this ribosomal RNA (439 nucleotides) under uncultured Actinomycetes bacterium. RNAcentral describes it as "bacterial SSU rRNA". It matches the Rfam family "Bacterial small subunit ribosomal RNA", at positions 341 to 792 of the family's 1533-position model. Lineage: Bacteria; Bacillati; Actinomycetota; Actinomycetes. The record is from RNAcentral.
ACGGGAGGCAGCAGUGGGGAAUCUUGCGCAAUGGGCGAAAGCCUGACGCAGCGACGCCGCGUGGGGGAUGAAGGCCCUCGGGUUGUAAACCCCUUUCGGCAGGGACGAAGCGAUCGUGACGGUACCUGCAGAAGAAGCCUCGGCUAACUACGUGCCAGCAGCCGCGGUAACACGUGGGAGGCGAGCGUUGUCCGGAUUCAUUGGGCGUAAAGAGCGCGCAGGCGGUUUGGCAAGUCGGAUGUGAAAUCCCGAGGCUCAACCUCGGGACUGCAUCCGAUACUGCCCGACUAGAGGUAGGUAGGGGAGAUCGGAAUUCCUGGUGUAGCGGUGAAAUGCGCAGAUAUCAGGAGGAACACCGGUGGCGAAGGCGGAUCUCUGGGCCUUACCUGACGCUCAGGCGCGAAAGCUAGGGGAGCGAACAGGAUUAGAUACCCUGGUA